AACGAACGCUGGCGGCAUGCCUAACACAUGCAAGUCGAACGCGUGUAGCAAUACACGAGUGGCGGACGGGUGAGUAACGCGUGGGAACCUGCCCAGUGGUAGGGAAUAACUGCGGGAAACUGCAGCUAAUACCCUAUACGCCCUUUGGGGGAAAGAUUCAUCGCCAUUGGAGGGGCCCGCGUCGGAUUAGCUAGUUGGCGGGGUAACGGCCCACCAAGGCAACGAUCCGUAGCUGGUCUGAGAGGAUGAUCAGCCACACUGGGACUGAGAUACGGCCCAGACUCCUACGGGAGGCAGCAGUGGGGAAUAUUGGACAAUGGGGGAAACCCUGAUCCAGCAAUGCCGCGUGAGUGAAGAAGGCCUUAGGGUUGUAAAGCUCUUUCGGCGGGACGAUGGUGACGGUACCCGCAGAAGAAGCCCCGGCUAACUUCGUGCCAGCCGCCGCCGUAAU
Molecule: ribosomal RNA, 451 nt
Filed under: uncultured bacterium
Lineage: Bacteria
Description: bacterial SSU rRNA
Rfam family: Bacterial small subunit ribosomal RNA
Source: RNAcentral